UGUUUAACCAGUAUACUCCCGCGUAUCCAGCACUUAUAAUCUGUUAUAGAUUACUUGGGCACUGUUAUAAAUAAAUCAAGACUGAAAAUAUAAGAAAUGACCAGAAAAGAUACUGUUAAGUUAAAUUGCUUCCAAAGUGCAGAAAAUUCAUAAAAUAACUUAGAAACUACAGAACUUAGCAUAGAAUGAUUAUUUUAAUUGUUUAAUUAUAUUUCUUUUAAAUUAUGCACCACUAAGCUAUCA
Molecule: unclassified non-coding RNA, 243 nt
Filed under: Hevea brasiliensis (rubber tree)
Lineage: Eukaryota; Viridiplantae; Streptophyta; Magnoliopsida; Malpighiales; Euphorbiaceae
Source: RNAcentral